GACGAACGCUGGCGGCGUGCUUAACACAUGCAAGUCGAACGGAAAGGCCCUGCUUUUGUGGGGUGCUCGAGUGGCGAACGGGUGAGUAACACGUGAGUAACCUGCCCUUGACUUUGGGAUAACUUCAGGAAACUGGGGCUAAUACCGGAUAGGAGCUCCUGCUGCAUGGUGGGGGUUGGAAAGUUUCGGCGGUUGGGGAUGGACUCGCGGCUUAUCAGCUUGUUGGUGGGGUAGUGGCUUACCAAGGCUUUGACGGGUAGCCGGCCUGAGAGGGUGACCGGACACAUGGGGACUGAGAUACGGCCCAGACUACUACGGGAGGCAGCAGUGGGGAAUAUUGCACAAUGGGCGGAAGCCUGAUGCAGCAACGCCGCGUGCGGGAUGACGGCCUUCGGGUUGUAAACCGCUUUCGCCUGUGACGAAGCGUGAGUGACGGUAAUGGGUAAAGAAGCACCGGCUAACUACGUG
This 468-nucleotide ribosomal RNA is filed under the name uncultured bacterium. RNAcentral describes it as "partial 16S ribosomal RNA". It matches the Rfam family "Bacterial small subunit ribosomal RNA", at positions 28 to 507 of the family's 1533-position model. The record is from RNAcentral.